AACGAACGCUGGCGGCAUGCCUAACACAUGCAAGUCGAACGAGACCUUCGGGUCUAGUGGCGCACGGGUGCGUAACGCGUGGGAACCUGCCCUUAGGUUCGGAAUAACUCCCCGAAAGGGGUGCUAAUACCGGAUAAUGUCUUCGGACCAAAGAUUUAUCGCCUUGGGAUGGGCCCGCGUUGGAUUAGCUAGUUGGUAGGGUAAAAGCCUACCAAGGCGACGAUCCAUAGCUGGUCUGAGAGGAUGAUCAGCCACACUGGGACUGAGACACGGCCCAGACUCCUACGGGAGGCAGCAGUGGGGAAUAUUGGACAAUGGGCGAAAGCCUGAUCCAGCCAUGCCGCGUGAGUGAUGAAGGCCUUAGGGUUGUAAAGCUCUUUUACCCGGGAUGAUAAUGACAGUACCGGGAGAAUAAGCUCCGGCUAACUCCGUG
RNAcentral lists this ribosomal RNA (433 nucleotides) under uncultured bacterium. RNAcentral describes it as "partial 16S ribosomal RNA". It matches the Rfam family "Bacterial small subunit ribosomal RNA", at positions 29 to 507 of the family's 1533-position model. The record is from RNAcentral.